Molecule: ribosomal RNA, 449 nt
Filed under: uncultured bacterium
Lineage: Bacteria
Description: bacterial SSU rRNA
Rfam family: Bacterial small subunit ribosomal RNA
Source: RNAcentral
CUCCAGACUCCUACGGGAGGCAGCAGUGGGGAAUAUUGCACAAUGGGGGGAACCCUGAUGCAGCGACGCCGCGUGGGUGAAGGAGCGUUUCGGCGCGUAAAGCCCUAUCGGCAGGGAAGAAGCAAGACGGUACCUGACUAAGAAGCCCCGGCUAACUACGUGCCAGCAGCCGCGGUAAUACGUAGGGGGCGAGCGUUAUCCGGAUUCACUGGGUGUAAAGGGAGCGUAGACGGCCAUGCAAGCCAGGGGUGAAAGCCCGGGGCCCAACCCCGGGACUGCUCUUGGAACUGCGUGGCUGGAGUGCAGGAGGGGCAGGCGGAAUUCCUGGUGUAGCGGUGAAAUGCGUAGAUAUCAGGAGGAACACCGGUGGCGAAGGCGGCCUGCUGGACUGCAACUGACGUUGAGGCCCGAAAGCGUGGGGAGCAAACAGGAUUAGAUACCCCCGUAUA